AGUGAACGCUGGCGGUAGGCCUAACGCAUGCAAGUCGAACGGCAGCACAGUAAGAGCUUGCUCUUACGGGUGGCGAGUGGCGGACGGGUGAGGAAUACAUCGGAAUCUACUUUUUCUUGGGGGAUAACGUAGGGAAACUUACGCUAAUACCGCAUACGACCUACGGGUGAAAUCAGGGGAUCUUCGGACCUUGCGCGAUUGAAUGAGCCGAUGUCGGAUUAGCUAGUUGGCGGGGUAAAGGCCCACCAAGGCGACGAUCCGUAGCUGGUCUGAGAGGAUGAUCAGCCACACUGGAACUGAGACACGGUCCAGACUCCUACGGGAGGCAGCAGUGGGGAAUAUUGGACAAUGGGCGCAAGCCUGAUCCAGCCAUACCGCGUGGGUGAAGAAGGCCUUCGGGUUGUAAAGCCCUUUUGUUGGGAAAGAAAAGCAGCAGGUUAAUACCCCGCUGUUCUGACGGUACCCAAAGAAUAAGCACCGGCUAACUUCGUG
This 492-nucleotide ribosomal RNA is filed under the name uncultured bacterium. RNAcentral's name for it is "partial 16S ribosomal RNA". It matches the Rfam family "Bacterial small subunit ribosomal RNA", at positions 29 to 507 of the family's 1533-position model. The record is from RNAcentral.